Molecule: RNA transcript, 907 nt
Organism: Trematomus bernacchii (emerald rockcod)
Lineage: Eukaryota; Metazoa; Chordata; Actinopteri; Perciformes; Nototheniidae
Gene name: protein FAM219B-like
Exons: 8
Source: RefSeq, a predicted model, not a curated record
CCCGGAAGUAGUAUGGAACCUUUUCACUCAUGCAUUAGCUGACAGAAGUGCCUCCCUGCUCCCGAGGAGAAGAGCAACAAAGUCCCACCAUGGCUGUUUUGUGGAAUAAAUUGUGACAACUACCGACAAGAUGAUGAACGACAUCAUAGAGGAACCGGAGAAGGACACCCUGCUGGAGCCGCAAGUCUUCCCGGGACCCAGUAAUGGCACCAGACCUAAAACAGCUGACGGAGGCAUCCGGCCAGUGGAGAAAAGAGGACCUUACAUCAUGUCGAGAGCUCCAGCAAUACACCUCAAACUACAGAAACACAGGGAGAUGGCGAGGAAAGCCCUGAAGAAGAAAGCUCUUUCUCCAGGACCCCCUGUGGUGCAUCAGCCCCGACAAGGAGCCAAGAGGACGGUGAAGUAUAACAAGGGCUACGCUGCUCUGAGUCAACAUGCUGGGGACAGUUUAGUGGCUCUGGACUCAGACAGUGACGAGGAGAUAGAUUUUGAGCAGUACUCUUCGGGAUACUCUUCAGCCGAGCUCCAUUGGACUCCAGAUGUUACUCCCACGGCCGGGUGGAGACGGACGAGGAGUUUGACGCCGGCUGGGUGACGUACUUCAGCAAACCUGACAUCGAUGCCUGGGAGCUGAGGAAAGGCAUGAACACCCUGAUCGGGUACGACCUGGUGCCCGAGGCUAAGACCGUGGACUCGGCGCUCAGAGCGUGCCGGAGACUGAACGACAUGGCCAGCGCCAUCCGUAUCCUGGAGGCCGUUAAGGUCCUUGGAUGUAUAACGAGAUGACGAUGAGCUCUUCUGAUUCCCCACUUUAAAUAUGUCUAUAUAUUGUUGAUCAAAUCCAUGCUUUCCUGUUGUGUACAAAAUGGUGGACCUAAUAAUAAAGAAACCAAUCAUUUAAGAA